UACGGAGGGUGCGAGCGUUAUCCGGAUUCACUGGGUUUAAAGGGUGCGUAGGCGGGCAGGUAAGUCCGUGGUGAAAUCUCUGAGCUUAACUCAGAAACUGCCAUGGAUACUAUUUGUCUUGAAUAUUGUGGAGGUAAGCGGAAUAUGUCAUGUAGCGGUGAAAUGCUUAGAUAUGACAUAGAACACCAAUUGCGAAGGCAGCUUACUACACAGUUAUUGACGCUGAGGCACGAAAGCGUGGGGAUCAAACAGG
RNAcentral lists this ribosomal RNA (253 nucleotides) under uncultured bacterium. Its description in RNAcentral is "partial 16S ribosomal RNA". It matches the Rfam family "Bacterial small subunit ribosomal RNA", at positions 524 to 776 of the family's 1533-position model. The record is from RNAcentral.